RNAcentral lists this ribosomal RNA (429 nucleotides) under Bacteroidota bacterium. Its description in RNAcentral is "Bacteroidetes bacterium partial 16S ribosomal RNA". It matches the Rfam family "Bacterial small subunit ribosomal RNA", at positions 355 to 776 of the family's 1533-position model. The record is from RNAcentral. Lineage: Bacteria; Pseudomonadati; Bacteroidota.
UAGGGAAUCUUCCGCAAUGGACGCAAGUCUGACGGAGCAACGCCGCGUGAGUGAAGAAGGAUUUCGGUUCGUAAAACUCUGUUGUUAGAGAAGAACAGCGCAUAGAGUAACUGUUAUGCGUGUGACGGUAUCUAACCAGAAAGCCACGGCUAACUACGUGCCAGCAGCCGCGGUAAUACGGAGGUGGCAAGCGUUGUCCGGAUUUAUUGGGCGUAAAGCGAGCGCAGGCGGUCAAUUAAGUCUGAUGUGAAAGCCCCCGGCUCAACCGGGGAGGGUCAUUGGAAACUGGUUGACUUGAGUGCAGAAGAGGAGAGUGGAAUUCCAUGUGUAGCGGUGAAAUGCGUAGAUAUAUGGAGGAACACCAGUGGCGAAGGCGACUCUCUGGUCUGUAACUGACGCUGAGGCUCGAAAGCGUGGGUAGCAAACAGG